AUGGUUGAAACUGAGAAACAUUUGGUAUUUUCACUGGUAUACAAACUUAUUGAGUUGGCCUUGAUAUUGCCGGCGUCAACGGUAUUUGUUGAGAGAGAUUUUUCAGGAAUGAAGAUUAUCAAGACUAAACUGCGUAGCAAGAUCAAUAAUGAAUGGUUUAAUGACUUGUUGAGAUGUUACACCGAGCGGGAGUUAUUCAAGUCAGUUGAUGAUAAGGAUAUUGUUCAAACAUUUACUGCAACGAGCUCUCGGAAGGGGUAUUUGCCUCAUGAUUUUGUUUAG
RNAcentral lists this ribosomal RNA (282 nucleotides) under Triticum aestivum (bread wheat). Its description in RNAcentral is "partial small subunit ribosomal RNA". The record is from RNAcentral. Lineage: Eukaryota; Viridiplantae; Streptophyta; Magnoliopsida; Poales; Poaceae.